GCGUUAUCCGGAUUUACUGGGUGUAAAGGGAGCGUAGGUGGCGUGUCAAGUCAGAAGUGAAAGCCCGGGGCUCAACCCCGGGACUGCUUUUGAAACUGUCAUGCUGGAGUGCAGGAGAGGUAAGUGGAAUUCCUAGUGUAGCGGUGAAAUGCGUAGAUAUUAGGAGGAACACCAGUGGCGAAGGCGGCUUACUGGACUGUAACUGACACUGAGGCUCGAAAGCGUG
RNAcentral lists this ribosomal RNA (226 nucleotides) under uncultured bacterium. RNAcentral's name for it is "partial 16S ribosomal RNA". It matches the Rfam family "Bacterial small subunit ribosomal RNA", at positions 538 to 763 of the family's 1533-position model. The record is from RNAcentral.